RNAcentral lists this long non-coding RNA (12274 nucleotides) under Phoenix dactylifera (date palm). RNAcentral describes it as "long non-coding RNA (PDAC_LNC001483)". The record is from RNAcentral. Lineage: Eukaryota; Viridiplantae; Streptophyta; Magnoliopsida; Arecales; Arecaceae.
AGAAGUAUGCUAUGGGAUGAAGGUCUCCUACGCUGGGAGUGGUUAUGUUAUCUGACAAAUGAAUAUAAUAUGGGAUUAAGGUCCCCAUUCGUGAUGUUAUUGAAGUGAUUGUGUUAAGAUGAAGGAUUGUGUUUGUUUGGUUUCUUGUUUGAUCAGAUAGAUCGUAUGCAUGCCUGCCACCUGGCCUGCUAUAAUUUUCAUUGUCAAUAAUAUUCAUAGCUCAUGUUCAAAAAAAAUUUUGAUGCGAAAUUUGGGUUUGCAUUCCGUGAGGCUUGAUUGCAUUUGUACAGUUUUUAAAUCGGCUGUUUCAAUUUUGAGUUUUUGGUUUAUAAUGGUGAGUUGGGGGGGGGGGGGGGGGGGGGGGUUAAAUUUGGAUCUGAUGGGUUCAAUUUUGUUCUUGAGGUUGGUUAGAUUGUGAACAGGCUUAAAUCGUAUGUCUCGGACGAUUCGAUUGUUUUAAGCGCAAGAACAUCAAGAAUCCUUCUUUGAUUUGGCCAUUUCAUUAGCACCCGCUUGGAUUUCUAGCUUCUGUGCCACCAAAUUCCAGAAGGGGAUUUUCUUAAUAAAAGAAUUGCGUAUUGCUCCAUUAUCAAGCCCCCGGCAAGAGAAUGGUAAAGUAGUUUUGGAUUUCCAUGAUUUGCUACGUAAAAUUGGCUCUGAAAACAAUAAACUGUUCAGUGACAAGGGCAAGGGAAAAUUUGAGGUGUCUGAAGGAUGCGUAAUGGUAAAUGAAAUGCUGAAGUUAGGAGUUAUCUUGCUGGUGUGGUAUAUGAUGUGUUUUAGAACCUGAUUCACUGCAAUUGUUGUCACCCUUUCCCUCAACUCCAAUUUCCAACUGAACUUUGACAUGCACUCUAUAGGAUAGUAAUGUAGGUUUCGGCUUGAUGAUUAAGGGAGCAUUGAGAGUUCAUCAAGUGAUAAGAAGUUUUAUGUGGUGAUUACCUCUGUCUCAAAAGCAGAACAUCAUGUGGGCUAGGAAUGCAUUGGUGUUCCAUCCUGCAAUUAAAACUUGAGAGGCUCUGAAUUGAUGGUGUGUUUCGGAAAUUGUUAAAGGAAAAGGCAUCUGUCAUAUUUAGUCUAUUCUUCUGAUGUCCUUCUACUUGAUGGCCUUCUUGGAAGGGGAGACUUUUCAUGUGUUCAAACAAAGUAAUGAUUUUUAGUUGUUCAGAAAAAUGUUACCUAAUAGCUCAACAUUGUACGUUGGUUUGAUAUCUAACUAGGAUGAGACAUAUGGUUAAGAUACUAUGUUGAUGACAAUUGAUAGUAGUUACCUAGAUCGCUUAGAAGAAAGAUGGAAAAUUGGGUUUGAGGGUUGUUUUUUUUAGAUCUUCAUUUAAUUUUAUGUAGAUGUAAUUAGAUCAUCUACACGUGAUACAACUUUUAGCUGAUUGGGCUUGGACUUUAUCCAUAACUGUAGUUUAAGAUUAGAUAUAGGUGUCCAAACUAGGACUUGAAUUUCAGAUGAGGUAGGGUCUGAAUCGCAUAAAUUAGACUCGUCAAGCAUGAAAAAUACUGCUUUGAGUUGACAAAUUUUUUUCCAGAAAUCUGGGUCUAUGCUCCUAGACAUUAUACUUGGACCUGACACUGUCCUAGUCUGAAGAAACCUAGUUAAGCUUACCAAGUGAAUGGGUCAGAAAGAUCUGGUCUAAAACUUCAAGCAGAAUGCUAAUUAGGGUCAAAUCGAGGCCAUUCUAUAUUUGUACUUUCUAACUCAUUUGCAAUUGUUAAGUGCAACAUAUAUACGGUUGAUCUUCCUUUGUUGAAAUCAAUUAGAUUAAAUAGAGUCUUAUUUUGCUCAUUUUCCAUUUUUUAGAUCUUUUCCUGUGAAAGAAAUCAUGGAUUUCUACAACCAAGAGUUAGAUCUAGGAGAUAUGAGCUGCCGUGGUUCAAGGGCAAAUUACUAACAUAGAAACUUGUAAAUCAUACUUAUUAAUUGGAUGGAAGAAUCCAACUCUCCACAAGUCAUUGUUUAACAAUUAACAACAUUUGACUUUUUAGGUGAAAGUACUUUACAGAAAUACGUUUAAGAUAUAGUAGAGAACUACCUGGAGACUGUCACCAACUAGGGUACUGUUUCCUGAGAAUGGAAGGUGCACCGAAGAGAAUUGAGAAAUUUGAACAUCUCUUCAUCUUUCAAUCAAUGGAUGUAUGAGAGUUGAUAUACUAAGAGUUAAGGUGGUAAAGUGAAAGAGGCAUGCACUUGGAAAGGAUUUACCUUGGAAGUAGCCAAGGUUGAGAUGAGAGUUCAAAAUUUUAAUAUGAUUGCUAACUUCGGCCUGGUGAUUGUUGUGUCAAAUCAAGUAAAUGACAAUAAGAUUGGUAAUGGAGCAUUAAGGAUUCGUGAACAUAGUUCUAUUAUGUGGUUAGUAAUAUCCAUGGCAUGAAUUUAAGAAGCUUUUGUGCGAGCACUAGUUCUUGAUUAGAAAAGGCCCUUAUUGUCAUUUAACAAGCUUUAGAUCUUAAACUAUGGUGAGUGAUGAAACUAGGCAAUGAAACUGGAGGAAAAAUCUGGUGUGCAAAUGAUUGUGGCUUGAUCCAUUACAAUGGAGCGCCUUCAGAUGAUGAAGUAGCAAAACAUCAAUACACAUAUCUAUUAAAAAGGUUAAUUCCACUGUCAUUUCUCAGAGUAAAUCCAUCAUCACAUACUAUUGAUGAAAGUUACCAGUAUAUGCAUAGGAGAAAGACAGUCUUAUUAAAAACAAGAAUAACAAGAGUGCUUUUAUGUUUUGGGUUACUAUCAUGGUAGAAAUUAAAGUAGAAUAUGAUCCUGGGGUGUGUGUUGUAACAAAAAUAACACGUAUGCGAGGUCGGGUGGAAACAGUUACUUUUAAACAGCCAAUUUCGGGAAUGAUAGAAGAAUUGUAAAUAAACAAGUAAAAUUGCAAUCCGUGUAUAUUGUGUUGGUAAUCUUCUUCUGUGUUAUAAUUUAUAACUUCCUGAUAGCUGCUGCAAGGCUUGAUGGUUAUGGCUACAAAUGCACAACUUACAAUCCAAAUUACCAUGCAUUGAAAGCUCUGUCUUGCAUAUUGAAAUUUCACAUGUGAUCUAAGAUACGAUUGAGAACGCAUGCUAGUAUAUCCAUGACAAAAAUGCAUGUCAAUUAUAAGAAUAAAUCGUAUAGUUUUAUUAUUUUUAUACCAUACGUAAUGAUGAAUCAUCAUCUUCGCAUCUUUACUGUAGUCAUUUAAAAAUUUAAUUGGUCAAACGAUUCUGCUUAAGCAUGGUGAUACGAGUUACUUUAAUUACAUAAAUGGAAAGCAACAAAAAGAUUUCAUCUCAUGUUGAAGGGUGGUUGGAGCCAAAACAAAAAUCAUCCAAUUUUUUCAUGUCGGUCAACAAUUACUUCAUAACUUGUUACAACUUCAGUAAUAGUCAAAUUUUGUUUUUUUUCAAUAAUAAAUAUGGAAGUGAUCAAUUUUAAAGGAGUUUUGAUCAGUUUUGUUUGUCAUAUUCUGCUAUUCGUUUCUGUAUAAAGAUUUGAAACAAGAACAGAUAGAGUGCUUACCAAUAGGUUUGAAUGCAGUGGCAAGAUAAACUGACAAAUUACUGGGAAGAUUGAUUUUGGAUCAUCACAUAGCAAAGUUCAUGACAGUUCUAGAAGAACAUGUUGUUUUCCUAGGUUCUAGAUUGAGUCUGUUAUUUAAUUAAACGAACAAAAGAAUGAUUAAGUUAAUGCAAAAUUCGUGUUCUUAAAAGAUUCUAUUAGUGAUCUCAUGCACACCAACUAUAAGGUGAUUUGUGGAAAGGUUAUGAAGAUGGAGCACAGUUGUUGAAUAAAGCAUCCUAUGACCUGAAGCAAGCUGCUUGAUUAUGUGCUUGUGUGAACACAUGCUAUUAAGCAAGUCUGCUCAAGUAUCCUUGUGAACAUGUUCCUUAGAUUGAUUUGAGAGACAAGCUAUUAUCUAUUUUUUUCGCUCUUCGUUGGUGAUUUCAUGAUAAGGGAAACCCAUUUUUGAAAAUUCGUUUUACAUCAAGCCUUUGUAGUUUUUGCUUUGAUAGUUUGCUCCAAGGUUUGGAGUUCUACCAAGAAAAAAAAAGAAAGCCAAACAAAGUUAUUUACACAACAUUUUAGAGUAUAUCAUGCUAUAUAAGAUCCUUUUACCCUUCUGAUGAGAAAUUUGGUGGAAGGCUGCAAACAAACUGAGUUGUUCAUGGACAGCUUAGGCUUGGCUUGGUAAUAGGCUUCGAACUUAGUUCAAGUUUGAAAUGAGCCGAUCUCAAACAUUCUUUAAAGCUAUGCCAAUAAACUGAGUUGAGUUUGAAUCCCCUAGGUUUGCAAAAUGAAUAAGGGUAUAUGCUCAGCUCGAUAAAAAGCUUGUUCAACAUCAGUUCACACAAUACAUGAGUCAAGCAUGAUCAUGACCUGUCAACCUCUGCUCAAGUUCGAUCAACCCUCUUAUAUAACAAGUUGAGCAUAAGCAACCUACCACUUAGCCAGCUCAUCUUGUUUGCAGUGCUAAUUUUGUGGGAGUGCCACCAUCUUGAGUUGAGUCCUGGACCUUUUUCUUGAGGUGAGGGUUGCCACCUAGCGGCGAUAAUUCUGAUCGAUGUGUUAUGUAAGAUCUUGUAUAAUUUGGUAAAUUUGUACUGAAAUUAGUAUUGCAUAUCAUCUCUCAAUGCGUAGUCACACUUUCUUCAUCAUUUUGAGUAGAAUAUUGCAAACAUCCUAGAUUGAGAUAUUUGUUAGCAUGUUUUCAAGGUUCUGCAGCCAAGUAAUUAAACCCAUAUAAAUUUAGAUUAUUAGAUUGUGAUAUAGAAUAUUAGAUUACAUUAUAUUUUUUAUAAAAAAAGGAUGCUUGUUUCUGUUAUGAUGAGCUCAUGCGUUCUCUUGUUUCAUGGCAAUGUUGUUGAUAGGCAUGAUGUGCUAGGCUAGGUGCUGCCAUGGAGGCUAAGGGCUUCAGUCAGUUUUUAGCAAGAUGUACCCAAUCUGAAACUUUACGCUAUGUUUGAAUAUGAGGUCCAAAAUACAUAAUAUUGGAUAAAUGACAAGAAUUUCAUGGUGCACUAUCUUGCCACCAAGUUUUCUGAAAUUAAUGAAGGAAAUAGGAAAUUGGCCAAGUCUUGGGGAAACUUGAUUUCGGUUGAACGUUCAGGUUGUAUAUGAACUAGCAGAUUAUGCAUGGUUGAAGACUUUGUUUGGAAGUAUUUGGAAUGUUAUGGUUAUGUGAUUGGACAUUGUUUUGAGGUUGUGUUUAUUUAUUGAAAGAUGAAAAAAUUAUUAUGCACUAUGUUACUUAGAGACACACCAGAUUAUUGUAUGCUUUAAUUGAUGAGUCUAGGCCUGGCGAUGCAAUUGAUGGAAGGUAUAGUAGAUGGGGCUAUGUUUUCCCUUGGAAAUGGUGCUUUCAUAUGUUAUUUGAAGAAAUUAAAAGUUGUUGUUCUUUCUAAUGUUGAAGGAAGUUGAGUAUAUUUGUAUCUCAGCAACCAUGCUCAAGUCUGGUGGCUAAGAAGAUUACUAGGAGAGGUGGGUCGUUGUCAAUAUUUCUAUUGAAACUUUACUGGUAAAACCUUAGUGAUGCCUAUAGCUAGAUAUUCAUUUUUCUCAUGGCAGUGUUAGCAGUAAUGAUGCUUGAUUUCUGGUUAUUUUAAAGGUUGCCAAUAACCAUUGCAGUCUGAUAUAGCUUAUGUUGCAAGAAAUCGGAUCAAGCUCUCAAAUUGUUCAUGAAAUCUUUAAAGUGGAAACUGUUCAUAAAGUUGGCAUAGAUUACAUUGCUUGUGUUGAUAAAUGAAGUUCAAAGAGGAUAUUUGUCCUAAAUUUUUAUAUUGUAGUUUUGAUUUCCACUUAUUUGAAUUCUUGAUAUGUGUAGAUUAGCAAAGCAAUAGCUGGAUUUUAAGUCAUGGUUGGAGUUUGCAUAGCAACUCUCCAUCAUGUUGACAGUCCUUUAAUAGUAGGUACAGACAUUUACAUCAUUUACAGGUAGGCUGAUGUGGUAGCAGUUGAGAAGAAUCAAAAACAUUUUUCUUAGGUUCUUUCUCUCUUUAGCCAUCUUUCCUCUUGUCAUGUUCUCACAGAAAAAGAAAUCGUGAAUUUGUAGAUGUUGUAGUAGAUAUAUUAUGAACUGGAUGACCCUGGAUCAGUUUCCAAAUUGUAAGAACAUUUUUACACUUAUCUAGUGCAAAUAUAGGGCUAAGAUUUCAUUUGACCCAUUGUGGUAUAGAGUUCUAAUGGUUCGCAAUAUUUUUUUAAUAAUUUGUUUUCUCUGGGUUCCGAUUCACUCAAUAAAUACUCCAUUGGACUCUGAUACUUUAGAAUUGGCCUAAUUUUAUUUUGUAUUCCUAAUUUUCAUCAUUUUCGUGUGUUCUGUCAUUCUUGUCAGCAUUGGUCUUUGGCUUUAAGAAUCUGAGACUUUGUUUUUUCAAUUUUAUAUUGCAGAAGCUUCUCAUGGCGUCGAAGCGUAUCUUGAAGGAACUCAAGGAUUUGCAGAAGGAUCCUCCUACCUCCUGCAGUGCAGGUACAAUCAGACUGUAAUGCCAGAUUUGGUCUUUUUUCUCUCAGUCAGUUCAUGUCUAAACCCCUUGUCAUGUAAUUUUUCCCUCUCUUUGUCAAGUUAUAAUUAAUUCAUUAUUUGUUAUAGGAACUGCUCCCACCUUUUCUCUUCUAUUUUGGGUCGAAAAGGGCACAAGUUGUCUUUUCAGGAAAGCAGAGGGAUGAACAAUCACCUUGACUCUUGCAAAAAAAGAGUCUGUAAAAUAUUGAUGAAGGGGGCUUCGUUAACUUAAAUAUUAUCAUUUUGCACUGGCUUUUUUCAAUUUUUAUUUUCAGAUUUGAUUAUUUGGAUGAAAAUUUCAGUCUACUGAAGGCUGCAGGGGAUGGUUUGAAUUCUUAUAUUGUAGGACUAUAUUAGUGUUAAUGUAGCUAUUAAUUUGGUGGCAGUCACUCUAAGUGAAUCUUUGUAUAUAUGUCAUUGGUUGUCAAUGGUGGUGUUGGUGAAGUUUUUGACUUAUAAUCAGAGCAUGUCAUUGUCCCAUAUCAAUAAAAUACACUUCAAGGAGGAGUUAUUUAUUAAGUUAUAAGUAUGUAGAUUUGGUAACUUCAAUUAUAAAAGGGAAUCUUUAAUGCUGGCUCAAUAUGCAAUCCUUAACAGGGAAGAUCUGCACAUCUGCAUAAACUUGUGACCCCGAGUAGUUGGUCCAAGUAUAUCAGAUAUGGUUGUGGCCUUGUGGGUAUGAUUAGGAGUUUUUUCUGCUACCCUAAUGCUGGCAAUUUAUGUUUAUAUUUUGCAGGUCCUGUAGCCGAGGACAUGUUCCAUUGGCAAGCAACAAUCAUGGGCCCUCCUGACAGUCCAUAUGCUGGAGGUGUUUAUUUAGUAAAUAUUCAUUUCCCGCCAGAUUAUCCUUUCAAGCCACCAAAGGUAUGGUAAUAUUUUUGUAUAGCUUUUGGAUCUCAUAUUGAGGUGCCUUAAUCUGGUGGUUUGAUGGUCAGCCUUUUGUUUUAAGUUUCACGACUAAUUAGCUGUUGUGCUUUCUUUUGAUAUGUAAAUUUCCUUGUUGAUUAGCAAUUACUUUUAGGUAUUAUAGGCAUAGAGUAUGCAUUUUGAAAUGACUUUCUCUAUUGACAUGAUGAUGCAUAUUAGAUAUGUAUUUGCUUGAUGUUUACUUCAUAUCUAGGUUUAUCAUCACCAAUAUCUUGAAAGGCCUUUUGAGUCAUUGUUGUAUGAUGAAGUUCGGUAAUUUAAUUUUUGUUCACUAUUGUGUUCAUAUAUUUAGGAGAUUGUAGCAUUUAACUAUAUAUAUUGCACUAUUAAUCUUAGUAGUAUAUGAUUGCAUGUUUUUGCCUUCUAGCUUUUGCUUUCAGCAAAAUUUUGCUUCAUCAAUUUCAUAACCGGGAUGGGUGAAGUACCAUGCCAAGUUUGAACCUGCAUUCAAGAACUCCACCACUGUGGUUUCCACAUCCCAUUGGUAGUUUCAUUUUUCUAGCAUAUGUGAAAUGCUAAAUAGAAAUAAUUAAUGACGAUAUUUGUAUAGUUUUUGCAUGGUUUAGAUUGGAGGGAAAUAUGACACAUUAUUAGGUAAAAUAAGAAAGAGGAGGAUGAGAGAUCUUUUGAAGGAAGAUUUAGUAUUUCAUUGAAUAACUCUAUUCGAAUAUUACAAAAUCUAUUACUCUGUUGGAGUCUUUUGAAAGAAGACUCCAAAGCUUUUCUUGAUCAUUAUCUCAAUGACAAUAGGACUUCCCAACUUCAACAUAUAACAAAUUUGGGAAUUGUAACUAAUCCUUGUCAAAGCAAGACCUUGGAGUUCUUAAUGCAGGUAAAUGAACCUAAAACAAAUCUUCUUGAGAACCAUGAGCAACUAUUAUUUCAACAGUUUCCCUUUAUGUCCUUUAUUAUAUUUUCAAACAAGUGCAAGCUCAAAAUAUACUGAAACUAUAUUGGGCAUGCCUCACUGCUUGUCUAUGGGAAUGCGAAAGAAAUAUCAGGAGGUCUUUAUAAAAAACCUACAGUGGAUGUUUUCUCUCUUCUAUCUUGAGAUAAUUGUGGUUAUUCACCACCAAUCAGGUUUGCUCCUGAGAACUUUCACUUGGAUAGGAAGGUACCAAUCAACUGAGCUAACAGCUAUAAGUCAAACCGACAACAAAGUAGUUAUUGAAAAAUUAAAAGUAGUAGUUUAAGAUAAAUUAAAACUAGGAAAUAAAUUAAAAUUGGGGGUUGAAAGUGGGAUUGGAAAAUGGUCCGGAGAAGGUGCCUUAUCUAUAUAGUAGUGGUAGUAGUAGAUGAGACCAAUAUGUUUAAUUUAAUGAUUAUGUACAUGGAAAUUGAGUUGAAGGAGACACUCGUGAGGAUGAGAAUGGCAGAUGGGGGUCGCAACAAGUCGAGAUGUGGUUGCAUAAAGAAAGUGUUGAUUAAUUAAAAUUCUAACAUAUAGGAAUUUGGGUCAUGAAGAGAUACAUAAGAGAAUGGAGACUAUUUUAAUAGUUAAGUUCUAUCAAGAAUUGAAGCUAUUCAAGGGUCAGGGUUUGAGGAUAUCUACCAGUGGUGAUGGAGGAGAGAGAUCACCCCAUGAAUGGAAUCAAUUUAUUAGUCAUGUUUGAUUAAUAUCCUAGAAUCCAGUUAUGUCAAGCACCAUUGUAGGUUAGUAUCUAGUGGUAAAGAUUAGAGAGGCAUCAUCUGAUGCAAGUUUUUUUUUCCAGAUCAAGGGUCAAGGGUGUCGUGGAAAAAAGUGAUGGAAUCUUGUUGGAACAUUUCAAAAAUUCAACAUUUUAAUAUUUCAAUGUGGUACCUAUAAAAAUGCUAAUGAGGGCAGCUUGAUGCAAAACAUAAGUUUUUGAAAAUUGGAAACUUUAUCUAAUUGUAUAUUAACUUAUGUAUUUUAAAUUAUGGAAUAUGUCAUCAAGAUAUGAACUGUCACCUCCCCAAUUUACCCUUUAUCUGAAACAAAAAGUCAUGUGUUUGGUGAUGGUUAUCCUAUCUCUAAUGGUGGAUAAUGUCUCGACCUACAAUUCAAUUUCAACCACUCUGUUAGCUGUGAUAUUGAGCUCCUUGAAAUGGAGAAAUCAAUUUACAUAGUUUGCGACAUAGUUAGUAUCUCAUUUGUACCCACCAGAGCAUUUAAAUUGUGUCUUGAUAUGGAUGGGGUUUUUGUCAGUUCAAUUAUGGUGCAUGGAGAGUGAAGAGGUGAUAGAACUUUUUCUAGACUUGAUGCAUGUGGAGUACUGGAAGAGUCCAUUUCAUUUCCAUUUCCUUAUUAGUUACUUUAAUCAAAGGACCAGUGGCAUGCAUUAUUGUUUUAACUUCAAAGGCCCAAAUUGGGAUGUUCAUUGUCCAUACAAGGUAGAAACUUAGUAGAAGUGAGAGGCUGUGAGGACCAAGGUUCUCCGUCUUGGUACCGGACCCCAUACCGGUGCCACACUAGCAUAGUGUUGGUAUGGUAUGGUAUGGAAUUUUUUUGGCGUACCAAAUGUUGGCACACCACCCAUACCGGAUACCAGUACCGAAUCGGUACGGUACGGUAUGCCUCGUACCGCCUAGUUUGGGCUGGUAUGUCGUACCUUAAUGAGGACUCUUGACAUUUAUUGUCAUUUGUCAGUAUCUUUCUUUUUAUUUUUUCUCACUUUUAGGGUUGGGGGUGGGGGGGUGUUGUUGCCAACCAGAGUUUCUAGUUUUUGAGGUUAAAGGAUUUUCCCAUUCUAGAUGGUUCUACAGAGUCCAUUUAUUUUGGGGGCCACAAUGCAAUUGAAGUUGGUCUCGAAUCCCAAUUCCCCUCUGAAAUUCUGUCCUUUUUUUUGUUAUGGUCAUUUCUUUAAGCUCUAAGUAGAAAGAAGCUUGUUCUGAGAGGACUAAUGUAGUGUAGUUUUUCUCGUAAUUUGUGGGAAAUCGCCUCCGUUACAUCUUUGAAACCUGAAAGCUAUCUCUGAAGCCUUUUCAUUUAUCUUCAAUCUACAAGGGAUGAUGAUUUCUGGGUUCUAUUGAUUUGGAAGGCAAGAAAACUUGAAAGUGGCCCCAUGCUGUUUGGUGGGAGUUUUGUAGAGGAAAAGAUAGAAGAAUGCAAUAGUUUGAUCAGAACUCAGAUAUUGGGGGUCUUUAGGAAUAUUGAAUUGUUUUUUGUUAGUGUUUCCCCAGAGGAGGAAAUUUAUUCUAGGAGCGUAUGCAAUGGUGGUCGCAUCUGUUUUGAGGACUUAGGUGGUGUUGUUAUGUGCUUUUUCCUUUUGUUUCUUUUUGGCUUGAUUUCUUAUUAUCAAUAUGAUUAUGUAUUUUCUUACAAGUAAAGUUCUUUUUAGAUGACCAGUUUAGUUCUAGUUAUCCAGAAUUUACUUAGAUAUCAAAUUAAGAUUAAUAACUGUCAGUAAGGGUUUAGUGGGCAAGGUUAGUAUUCGCAUGAAGUUUGCAGGCUAGUAGUUGUUUGCCUACAUGCACAGCAUGCAGUCCAUGCCUGACAUGAAGGAUGGCAUUCUUCUGUAUAUAGGUAGUUUGUCAUGAAAAAAUGGGGAUUCAAUUACAUAGAAUAUUGUGUUAGAAUAAUCACCAGAAGUUAGAACAAUGCAUGUUGGUAUGGUUGUGAAUUAUGCGGUGGCACAUUUUUUUACAUGCUGUAUGCAUGGCAUUUAACAGUUGAAAUCGUGCAAAUGAUUUGUCAAGAAUCAGCUACCCUUUUCCUUUUUAAUUUGUUGUACUUGUCCGCUAUAUUCAUACACUGAUGCAGUUACAUGUUUUAGGUUGCUUUUAAGACUAAGGUCUUUCAUCCGAACAUCAAUAGUAACGGGAGCAUCUGUCUGGAUAUUCUUAAAGAGCAGUGGAGUCCUGCCCUGACCAUCUCAAAGGUAUGUCAUGCAAAUAUUAUUCACUUGUUUUGAUCUGGUGUCGAGCAAACAGGGUUUAUGCCUUUGAUUUAUUAUGAGUAUUAAAACAAGAACAGAACUAUGAAAUUAUGGUGCUGCUGUAUUACGUGCAAGUUUGUAUCGGUGUGGAUACAGCAUGAAGACAAAAAAGGAAAUAAAUAGGAAGAUUCGGAUUUUAUCAUGCAAGUUUAUACAAAUGACCAGUUCUGAAUAAAUAUGCUGAGUACAUGUCUUGCUUUAAUUUUACUUUGGUUUUUGAUUCCCCCAACUUUCUUUAUACUCGCUAUGAAUUUUACAAUCACUUGAUGCAAGAGAUGAAUGACGAGAGUGUUUCAGUGAUAUGUAGAUGAUGUAUAGGCUAUAUAGGUGGAACCUUAUAGCGAAAAUUAUUUGAUAAUUUGCCAAACCCAACCAUGCUUGCCACAAACUGUUGUAUUCUACAUUUAAAUAAUUGCAGAAUGAUGCAGAAGUUAACCAAUGCUAUAAAUAAGAAAGUGACCUAUUACGAUUAGCAUGUUUGUUUUAAUCAGAUAUAGGAGUAUGUAUGAUGAUAUUGAGCUUAGUUUGUCAGCAGUUGGUAUUAUCACUCCAACGAGGACCCUUUUCCCAAUCCUUUAACCUAUAUCUAGUAUUGAGGUCCGCAGAAUCAAGUUGCCAUCUCUGUAUUUUUACAUUUUAUAUUGGUAUCGCACUUUCUUCCUUUUCUGUACAUGAUAUGACUGGAACAAGAUUCUUGAUAAUGAACAAUAUAAUGUUGCGACAGGUCUUGCUAUCUAUCUGCUCUUUGUUGACGGAUCCAAACCCAGAUGAUCCUCUCGUCCCAGAGAUUGCUCAUAUGUACAAGACUGACAGAGCAAAGUAUGAGACCACAGCUCGCAGCUGGACACAGAAGUAUGCUAUGGGAUGAAGGUCUCCUACGCUGGGAGUGGUUAUGUUAUCUGACAAAUGAAUAUAAUAUGGGAUUAAGGUCCCCAUUCGUGAUGUUAUUGAAGUGAUUGUGUU